This 328-nucleotide ribosomal RNA is filed under the name uncultured Bacteroidota bacterium. Its description in RNAcentral is "bacterial SSU rRNA". It matches the Rfam family "Bacterial small subunit ribosomal RNA", at positions 28 to 351 of the family's 1533-position model. The record is from RNAcentral. Lineage: Bacteria; Pseudomonadati; Bacteroidota.
GAUGAACGCUAGCGGGAGGCUUAACACAUGCAAGUCGAGGGGUAACAUGAGGUAGCAAUACUUUGAUGACGACCGGCGCACGGGUGAGUAACGCGUAUGUAACCUACCCUGUACAGGGGGAUAGCCCGGAGAAAUUCGGAUUAAUACCCCAUAAUGAUAUUUUAGGGCAUCCUAUGAUAUUUAAAGCUUCGGCGGUACGGGAUGGGCAUGCGUGACAUUAGCUAGUUGGUAAGGUAACGGCUUACCAAGGCUUCGAUGUCUAGGGGUCCUGAGAGGGUGAUCCCCCACACUGGUACUGAGACACGGACCAGACUCCUACGGGAGGCUG